GUGCUCAUUUUACCAGCACAUAUACUAAAAUUGGGAUGAUAUAAAGAAGCUCAGCAUGGCUCCUGUGCAAUAUCAAACUAAUUUGUCAAGAAUUCCAUAUUUCU
This is a small nuclear RNA of Suncus etruscus (white-toothed pygmy shrew), 104 nucleotides long. Lineage: Eukaryota; Metazoa; Chordata; Mammalia; Eulipotyphla; Soricidae. The record is from RefSeq and is a predicted model, not a curated record.